Molecule: long non-coding RNA, 291 nt
Filed under: Elaeis guineensis (African oil palm)
Lineage: Eukaryota; Viridiplantae; Streptophyta; Magnoliopsida; Arecales; Arecaceae
Description: long non-coding RNA (EGUI_LNC056709)
Source: RNAcentral
CUAUGAAAGAUCAAUCUCUCACCAAAAAUGGAUAGAAAUUUUUGAGAUCAAGCAAACAUACUCUAGUCCUAAGGUCAAUUUGAACCUAAUAAUCCAAAAAUUAGAUAAAGUCGAUCUUCUUGCUCAGAAAAUAGAUUAGUUCCUAACCCUAGGUCAACAAUCUCCUGUGCAAUACACACAACCUUCUAAUUAUUAGGAGAUUUAUUCUAUCUGUGCUAGCUUAGCCCAUCCUGUGAGUGAAUGACCUAUGGCUGUGCAGUUUCCACCUUUCGUCCAAGAACAAGUUCAAGC